CUUGCAUAAGUUUAUAUAUAUGUUGAAGAACGUAGUGUUAGUAGGCAUUUUCAUGGUACUGCACAUGUUUGGUAUAUUGAGAUCAGGCUUUAGAGUCGUGUCAUAGAAUACAACUCAUAGUAAGUAGGCUGUGCUAAACAUGGUGAGUAAACAAGAUAAACAUUCAGGCUGGGUGAACAGACAGUGACUAUAUCCUAGGCACAGAAAUAACAAGUAGCACGAU
Molecule: non-coding RNA, 223 nt
Organism: Pelobates cultripes (western spadefoot toad)
Lineage: Eukaryota; Metazoa; Chordata; Amphibia; Anura; Pelobatidae
Source: the annotation of a GenBank genome assembly